CCUACGGGAGGCAGCAGUGGGGAAUAUUGGACAAUGGGGGAAACCCUGAUCCAGCGACGCCGCGUGAGUGAAGAAGUAUUUCGGUACGUAAAGCUCUAUCAGCAGGGAAGAAAAUGACGGUACCUGACUAAGAAGCCCCGUCUAACUACGUGCCAGCAGCGGCGGUAAUACGUAGGGGGCAAGCGUUAUCCGGAUUUACUGGGUGUAAAGGGAGCGUAGACGGCAGCGCAAGUCUGGAGGGAAAUGGCGGGGCCCAACCCCGGAACUGCACUGGAUACUGGGAAGCUGGAGUGCAGGAGAGGUAGGCGGAAUUCCUGGUGUAGCGGUGAAAUGCGUAGAUAUCAGGAGGAACACCGACGGCGAAGGCAGCUUACUAGACUGUAACUGACGUUGAGGCUCGAAGGCGUGGGUAGCAAACAGGAUUAGAUACCCGAGUAGUC
Molecule: ribosomal RNA, 440 nt
Filed under: uncultured bacterium
Lineage: Bacteria
Description: partial 16S ribosomal RNA
Rfam family: Bacterial small subunit ribosomal RNA
Source: RNAcentral